UGCCCCAACCUCCCUUUCUGCGCCGCUCGGGUACGCAGCUGCCUGGCCAGCGUCUACGGCACCAACUCCGGACUGGUUGGACCAGGCAGCAGAGUCUGAGACAUGUUCUUGGAUUGGAUGCUGGAGACCGAGUUGAAUAUCAAUAGCGAGUCCCGAAAAGGCCUCUGGCAAUUGCCAAGCCGAGGGCCUUCUGCCACUUAAUGUGCACCUGGCAGAUUAUGUGGCCGCGAAGAAAACAACUUUGGCUGCACGAAGUUCGGCACAAUCCUAGAGAAGCUUCUGCCAGUUCCAGUGAGUUGAGAUAAACGAAACGUGGAUCUGCCAUAGCAGUGUUACUGGACAAGGCAAGACUUCUAAGGUGCCAGCUAUCUUGGUUUGUCUCAAAUGGAAGAGGUUCCUGGGAUAUGGGAUUUCUAAUUCUAAAAUCAGAAAAGCAACAAGCAAAUUGGGCAUUGGAGCUGCUGGUGGACAUCACUGUCACUGUAAAGGGAAAGUCUACCGAGAAUGAAGGUAACACAGAAGAAAGCAGAGCCAAGAGCUGAAGCCCAACACCUGAUGACACUAAGCACUUGGGUCCAAGUUUCCCUGAAGCUCCAUCCUUGGACAUAUCACUUUACAUGACUCAGUAAAUUAUCUUUUUGCUUAAACUAGUUUUAACUGGGUUUCUACUACUUGUAUCUAAAUAAGAGCUAAGAAAAGGGAACAUGUGUUUAUACUAUACUGUCAAGUGAGGUAAAUGCUAUAAAAGAGGCCCAAAAGGAGAAAAGUUAAAUUAUGCAGAGGUGAAAUUCAGCUGCAAGAAAUCAGGAAAUGAAUUCAGGAUGAGCUGGCAUUUGAUUAAUUCUUGCAGAUUAGCAAGUGUAAGUAGCUUCCUAUGACUGCUCUAACUACCACACUCUUAGUGGCUUGACUAACACAAAUUUCUUGCAGUUCUGGAGUUAAGAAUGGAUCUGCAGGGCUGCUUUCUUCUGGAGAUCUUGAAGAGAAUUCACUUCUUUGCCUUUUCCAGCCUCUAGAGGCCACCUAUAUUCCUUGACUCAUGGUCUUACACUUUUAUCUGCAAAGCAUCUUCUAAUCUCUCCCUCUCUGAUUCUGACUCCCCUGCCUCCUUUUUUCCUGAUAAGUUUUCCACAUCAUGAUUACACAUUGUGCCCACCUAGAUGAUGCAAGAUAAUAUCACCCCUUCUCAAGCCCCUUGCCUUAAUCACGCCUGCUAGGUCCCCUUUAUCAUGUAAGGUAACUUGUACAUUCUGGGGAUUAGGAUGUAGAUAUCUUUGGGCAACUAUUAAUGUCUGGUUGAGGGAAUAGCAUUGGUAAAGGCACCAAAAUAAGAGAAGUGUGUUAGUCCAUGAAAAUAAUUUAAUUUUCCUGGAAAAUAUUUCAGGGAUCAGUGGGAUUGAGGCUAGAAAGUUUGGUUGAAAUAACCUUGUCUUGUAGACAGGGAAGGAAUCAUACUUCAUUUAGUACUUAAUGAGGUGCAAAGCACUGUGCUUUUUGUAUUGUAGAAAUAGGGAUGAGUAUAACAUUAUCUGUACCCUCAAAAAGUUUGCAAUGUAGUAGGGAGAAAGAUAUCUAUAUGUAAAGUGUCCAGGAUAGUCCUAGUUUAAGCCUGUCAUGCCACAUAAAUAUUCAUUGUGCCCCCUUUCACCUUAAAAAUGUCUUGGUCUGGAUGAUAAAAUAUGUGAUCACCCUACCUAAAUGCCAUCAUCAUCAUCAUUUAUUGAAUAUUAUCAUGUAGGAGCCCUGUGUUAGACCUUGGGAGAAAGCAAGAGAUACAAGCAAAUUUUCUGGGCUCAAGGUGUUUAUAAUUUAGUUUUAGAGUUCAAAGACGUUUAUAACAUGGUAAGGUAGCACAAAUAGUAUUUGGUCAACAAAGCAGCAGCGUAAAUCCUAAGCAACAAAAACAGAAAUUAGGUGCUACAGAAAACAAGAGCUGUAAGAAGAUGAGAGACAUCCCUGCAGCCUGGGUGACCAGGCAGGCUGCAACCAGUGAGAUGCACAGUUGGCACUGGAGCUUCAAAUGUAGGCAGGCUUGUGAAAAUGAAGAUGCACAGGCGGCACCCAGGUAAGGACAUAGACCUGGAUCAUUUACGAUGUGUCAAUAGAGAUGGAGAAAAAUGUCACUGCCUUGUGUUUCAAUAUUUCACUGAAUCUAAGAUAACUCCUUUGUUAAGAAACUCUAUUAUUUUAUAUACCACUAAGGAAAAUUGUUGCCCAUCCGCUUUAAGAAAUAUUCUGAUUUCAGAGAUGUUAAAAUGUGGAAAAAAUUCUAUUUUAGAAGGUGAAAUAAGAUAAUAUUUCUUCUCAAAUUUAAAGAUUCUUGCUAAAGUGGCUCA
Long non-coding RNA from Callithrix jacchus (white-tufted-ear marmoset), 2336 nucleotides. RefSeq lists it as uncharacterized. The record is from RefSeq and is a predicted model, not a curated record. NCBI's taxonomy places the organism in Eukaryota, Metazoa, Chordata, Mammalia, Primates, Cebidae.